Molecule: long non-coding RNA, 665 nt
Filed under: Homo sapiens (human)
Lineage: Eukaryota; Metazoa; Chordata; Mammalia; Primates; Hominidae
Description: HSALNT0278033
Source: RNAcentral
UGACCAUUUGUUUGAGGAAGAAAAGAUGCAGCCUGCAUUUUGAAAUCUGGGCAGAUGCUUAAAAAGACCUUGCUCUCCAUUCAGACAACAGGAAUGCCACCAGAUGUGACUUAAACAUGUCUGCUUUUCAGCUGUUUAAAUGUGAGCAAUUCCUCCCGUCACUAGCCCACUGCAAGGGACUGUUUUUUCAGGGUCUUUCAAUCCCAGGGCUGAUUCACAUCACAGGUAUUCCCAAAAAGCUCCACAAAUCAACAAUGAAAUAAACCCAAUGCCAGACCAACUUGCACAUGCCGGCGGGCCGAGAGGAUGGGAGGUCCAGUCAGGGCACUGUGCCUCACCAUCACUUUCCACUACAGAGAAGCUCUCACAGAAGUGAGCAUGAAAAAAAGAGAAGAAGAGGGGAGGAAAAAUGAGAAGAGACAAGUUUCUCUCUGGGAGAAGCAAUUCUAGUCCUGAAUUCUCAACUGUGCAUUCCACCUCAGAAAGCCAGUGACCGCCUCUGCUGAGCACAGGGUGACAAACUGGGCUGGAUCCAGGCUGGAGCCAGGCAGUGGGUGGCAGCUUCUGCCUCAAUCUUUCUGCAGUCUCCCUUCCCCAUUCCAAUCACGAUAAAUAUAUUUAUACUUACUUGAUUAUGUCAGCCAGACAAUACUCCCCUAAUUGGC